This 585-nucleotide ribosomal RNA is filed under the name uncultured bacterium. Its description in RNAcentral is "bacterial SSU rRNA". It matches the Rfam family "Bacterial small subunit ribosomal RNA", at positions 338 to 916 of the family's 1533-position model. The record is from RNAcentral.
CCUACGGGAGGCAGCAGUGGGGAAUUUUGGACAAUGGGCGAAAGCCUGAUCCAGCAAUGCCGCGUGCAGGAAGAAGGCCUUCGGGUUGUAAACUGCUUUUGUACGGAACGAAACGGUCUGCUUUAAUACAGUGGGCUAAUGACGGUACCGUAAGAAUAAGCACCGGCUAACUACGUGCCAGCAGCCGCGGUAAUACGUAGGGUGCGAGCGUUAAUCGGAAUUACUGGGCGUAAAGCGUGCGCAGGCGGUUAUAUAAGACAGUUGUGAAAUCCCCGGGCUCAACCUGGGAAUUGCAUCUGUGACUGUAUAGCUAGAGUACGGUAGAGGGGGAUGGAAUUCCGCGUGUGGCAGUGAAAUGCGUAGAUAUGCGGAGGAACACCGAUGGCGAAGGCAAUCCCCUGGACCUGUACUGACGCUCAUGCACGAAAGCGUGGGGAGCAAACAGGAUUAGAUACCCUGGUAGUCCACGCCCUAAACGAUGUCAACUGGUUGUUGGGUGCAUUAGUACUCAGUAACGAAGCUAACGCGUGAAGUUGACCGCCUGGGGAGUACGGCCGCAAGGUUGAAACUCAAAUGAAUUGACGG